GUGUGUACACUCACGCUGAAACUGGAGCCAUGCAGAGAUCAGCAUGGCUCCUGUGCAAGCACGGCAUGAGUUUUUGAAGCGGUCCCUAUUUUU
Molecule: small nuclear RNA, 93 nt
Filed under: Carlito syrichta (Philippine tarsier)
Lineage: Eukaryota; Metazoa; Chordata; Mammalia; Primates; Tarsiidae
Source: RNAcentral